GACGAACGCUGGCGGCGUGCUUAACACAUGCAAGUCGAACGAUGAAGAAGAGAAACGCGAACUUCGGUUCAAAUUUCACUUCGGAUUAGUGGCAGACGGGUGAGUAACGCGUGAGCAACCUACCUCUUACAAAGGGAUAGCCUCGGGAAACCGUGAUUAAUACCAUAUGACACAUUCAUAAGGCAUCUUAAGAAUGUUAAAGCUACGGCGGUAAGAGAUGGGCUCGCGUCCCAUUAGCUAGUUGGUGAGGUAACGGCCCACCAAGGCGACGAUGGGUAACCGGCCUGAGAGGGUGAACGGUCACAUUGGAACUGAGACACGGUCCAAACUCCUACGGGAGGCAGCAGUGGUGAAUAUUGCACAAUGGAGGGAACUCUGAUGCAGCGACGCCGCGUGAGCGAUGAAGGAAUUCGUUUCGUAAAGCUCUGUUCUAUGGGAAGAAAAGGACUGUACCAUAGGAGAAAGCCCCGGCUAAAUACGUG
This 482-nucleotide ribosomal RNA is filed under the name uncultured bacterium. RNAcentral describes it as "partial 16S ribosomal RNA". It matches the Rfam family "Bacterial small subunit ribosomal RNA", at positions 28 to 507 of the family's 1533-position model. The record is from RNAcentral.